RNAcentral lists this small RNA (127 nucleotides) under Marmota monax (woodchuck). Lineage: Eukaryota; Metazoa; Chordata; Mammalia; Rodentia; Sciuridae. The record is from RNAcentral.
GCUGGGCAUGGUGGCACACACCUGUAAUCCUAAUGGCUCAGGAGGCUGAGGCAGGAGGAUUGCAAGUUUAAAGCCAGCCUCAGCAACUUAGUGGGGCCCUAAGCAUCUUAGUGAGACCCUGUCUCAA